UACGGGGGGAACGAGUGUUAUUCAUCAUAACUGGGCGUAAAGUGCAUGUAGAUUGUAUAGAUUAACUUACAUGAGUAAUUCAUAUUAUGUUAUGUUACUAUACUUGAAUAAUGUAGAAAUUUGUGGAAUUUAAUUUAAAGGGGUGAAAUGCGGUAUAAAUUAGAGACCAACAAUAGGCGAAGGCAACAAAUUAUACUUUAUUGACGUUGUAAUGCAAAAGCAUAGGGAGCAAACAGG
This 237-nucleotide ribosomal RNA is filed under the name uncultured bacterium. Its description in RNAcentral is "partial 16S ribosomal RNA". It matches the Rfam family "Bacterial small subunit ribosomal RNA", at positions 524 to 776 of the family's 1533-position model. The record is from RNAcentral.